AAUACGCUUCCUCCGUCUGAAAAUAUUUGUCGAAAAAAAAUGAAUGUAUCUAGAUGCAUUUUAAUUCUAGAUACAUUUAUUUUUAUUCAUUUGUCAGACAAAUAUUUUCGGACGGAGGUGGUAUAUG
Non-coding RNA from Hordeum vulgare subsp. vulgare (domesticated barley), 127 nucleotides. The record is from Rfam. NCBI's taxonomy places the organism in Eukaryota, Viridiplantae, Streptophyta, Magnoliopsida, Poales, Poaceae.